AGACUAGUGGUGUAGUGGUAACACGUUGCUUCCAAAUGUGAAGAGGGAUGGUUCGAUUCCUUCCCGGUCCA
RNAcentral lists this transfer RNA (71 nucleotides) under Gongylonema pulchrum. It matches the Rfam family "tRNA". Rfam says of the family: Transfer RNA (tRNA) molecules are approximately 80 nucleotides in length. Their secondary structure includes four short double-helical elements and three loops (D, anti-codon, and T loops). Further hydrogen bonds mediate the characteristic L-shaped molecular structure. tRNAs have two regions of fundamental functional importance: the anti-codon, which is responsible for specific mRNA codon recognition, and the 3' end, to which the tRNAs corresponding amino acid is attached (by aminoacyl-tRNA synthetases). tRNAs cope with the degeneracy of the genetic code in two manners: having more than one tRNA (with a specific anti-codon) for a particular amino acid; and 'wobble' base-pairing, i.e. permitting non-standard base-pairing at the 3rd anti-codon position. Lineage: Eukaryota; Metazoa; Nematoda; Chromadorea; Rhabditida; Gongylonematidae. The record is from Rfam by way of RNAcentral.